RNAcentral lists this ribosomal RNA (497 nucleotides) under uncultured bacterium. RNAcentral's name for it is "partial 16S ribosomal RNA". It matches the Rfam family "Bacterial small subunit ribosomal RNA", at positions 28 to 507 of the family's 1533-position model. The record is from RNAcentral.
GAUGAACGCCGGCGGCGUGCCUAAUACAUGCAAGUCGAGCGAACAGACGAGGAGCUUGCUCCUCUGACGUUAGCGGCGGACAGGUGAGUAACACGUGGAUAACCUACCUAUAAGACUGGGAUAACUUCGGGAAACCGGAGCUAAUACCGGAUAAUAUAUUGAACCGCAUGGUUCAAUAGUGAAAGACGGUUUUGCUGUCACUUAUAGAUGGAUCCGCGCCGCAUUAGCUAGUCGGUAAGGUAACGGCUUACCAAGGCAACGAUGCGUAGCCGACCUGAGAGGGUGAUCGGCCACACUGGAACUGAGACACGGUCCAGACUCCUACGGGAGGCAGCAGUAGGGAAUCUUCCGCAAUGGGCGAAAGCCUGACGGAGCAACGCCGCGUGAGUGAUGAAGGUCUUCGGAUCGUAAAACUCUGUUAUUAGGGAAGAACAAAUGUGUAAGUAACUAUGCACGUCUUGACGGUACCUAAUCAGAAAGCCACGGCUAACUACGUG